This 74-nucleotide transfer RNA is filed under the name Dendronephthya gigantea. RNAcentral's name for it is "tRNA-Asn". It matches the Rfam family "tRNA". From Rfam's summary of the family: Transfer RNA (tRNA) molecules are approximately 80 nucleotides in length. Their secondary structure includes four short double-helical elements and three loops (D, anti-codon, and T loops). Further hydrogen bonds mediate the characteristic L-shaped molecular structure. tRNAs have two regions of fundamental functional importance: the anti-codon, which is responsible for specific mRNA codon recognition, and the 3' end, to which the tRNAs corresponding amino acid is attached (by aminoacyl-tRNA synthetases). tRNAs cope with the degeneracy of the genetic code in two manners: having more than one tRNA (with a specific anti-codon) for a particular amino acid; and 'wobble' base-pairing, i.e. permitting non-standard base-pairing at the 3rd anti-codon position. Lineage: Eukaryota; Metazoa; Cnidaria; Anthozoa; Malacalcyonacea; Nephtheidae. The record is from RNAcentral.
GUUUCUGUGAAGCAAUCGGUUAGCGCGUUCGGCUGUUAACCGAAAGGUUGAUGGUUCAAAUCCAUCCAGAAACG